Molecule: long non-coding RNA, 1058 nt
Filed under: Canis lupus familiaris (dog)
Lineage: Eukaryota; Metazoa; Chordata; Mammalia; Carnivora; Canidae
Description: lncRNA (ENSCAFG00845014094.1)
Source: RNAcentral
GCUAUUGUAAAUAAUGCUGCAAUAAACAUAGGGAUACAUGUAUCUGUUUUAAUUAGUGUUUUCAUCUUCUUUGGGCAAAUACCCAGUGGUGGAGUUACUACAUCAUAUGGUAAUUCUAUUUUUAACUCUUCGAGGAACCUCCAUACUGUUUUCCAUGUGGCUGCACCAGUUUGCAUUCCCACCAACAGUGCACAAGGGUUCCGCUUUCUCCACAUCGUUGCCAACACCUGUUGUUUCUUGUAUUGUUAAUAUUAGCCAUUCUGACAGGUGUGAGGUGGUAUCUCAUAGUGGAUUUGAUUUGCAUUUAUCUGACGAUGAGCGAUGAUGAGCAUCUUUUUGUGUGUUUGUUGGCCAUCUGUAUGUCUUCUUGGGAGAAAUGUCUGUUUAUGACUUCUGCCCAUUUUUAGUUAGAUUACUUGUUUUUUUUUUGGAGUUGAGUUGUAUCAGUUCCUUAUAUUUUUUGAAUAUUAACCAGGACUGGGUCAGUUUUAUUCACUGUUGUAUCCAUCCCAAGGGAUGAAUCUAAGAAUCCAUCAAGUAGAUUCUUAGUAAAGUACUCACUGAAUGGCUGAUUAAUAAAUGAAUGAGUGAUCUCAAGAUGGUCUGUAACUCCAAACUCUUCUAUUUUGAGGUUUGGAACCUGAAUGUCCAUGAAAUUUCAUCUCAUUCAAUAGUUCUUGUCACUCUGAAUAAGCCCCAAUGCUACACUGGCCAUCCAUUACUCAUUCAACCAAUGCUUAUUGAGCACUCACAAUUGCCUUGCAUGGUAGGGUAUGACAGAGACAGAAGAGCGAAAACAGAGUCAGCCCCUGUCCUCUUGAAGUAUAUGAUCUGUCAGAGAAGUUGGACGUUAAAUAAAGAAUCACAUAAAUCAGUAAUUUAUUACAAUUGUGAGAAGUUUACCAAUAGAAUUCCAAGGGUUGGGAGACUUUAUAACAGGGGAUGUGGAUGUUCAGGGAAAGCUUCCAUAGAAAGUGAUGCACAAACUGUGUCGGGAGAGAAGGGUAGGUGCUGGCUUGGCUAAAAAACAUGUAGGGCAGAAGAAAAAAAAAAAAAAA